UCCUACGGGGGGCAGCAGUGAGGAAUAUUGGUCAAUGGUCGGGAGACUGAACCAGCCAAGCCGCGUGAGGGAUGAAGGUACAGAGUAUCGUAAACCUCUUUUGUCAGGGAACAAAGGCGGGGACGUGUCCCCGGAUGAGUGUACCUGAAGAAAAAGCAUCGGCUAACUCCGUGCCAGCAGCCGCGGUAAUACGGAGGAUGCGAGCGUUAUCCGGAUUUAUUGGGUUUAAAGGGUGCGCAGGCGGGCUGUUAAGCCGGCGGUAAAAAUUCAGGGCUCAACCCUUU
RNAcentral lists this ribosomal RNA (284 nucleotides) under uncultured bacterium. RNAcentral's name for it is "partial 16S ribosomal RNA". It matches the Rfam family "Bacterial small subunit ribosomal RNA", at positions 337 to 618 of the family's 1533-position model. The record is from RNAcentral.